RNA transcript from Lolium rigidum, 1523 nucleotides. It is a transcript of the gene named protein MEI2-like 3, with no coding region annotated. The record is from RefSeq and is a predicted model, not a curated record. The transcript is spliced from 3 exons. NCBI's taxonomy places the organism in Eukaryota, Viridiplantae, Streptophyta, Magnoliopsida, Poales, Poaceae.
GCCGCCGCCUUGCUUGCUACCACUGGCGUCUACGCCGAGAUCUCCACCUACAUUCCCUCCGCCGCCCUCUAAACAGCCUGUCCCGGCCGCGGCACCCUUGGACUCGCCACCGAAGAUCGACGGCGCCGUCCUCUUCGCUUGCGAAGAAGGCCGAGGUCUUCACGGUGGUCGGGGAGAGGUGCCUGGCUUUCAUCUCCUCGCGAAGCCCGUGCCGGCUCGGCGGUGGCGCACGAUAAUGGAGGUGGCCGAUGCUGGUAGGCGAAAUGAAAGGCGUCGCCGGCGCGUGAUUCGGUGGUCCAGGACAUCGGCGGCGCUUGAGCUUCUCCGGCGUCGGUCCUUCCCGGUGUUCCUGGUCGACGGCGAGCUGGACAGGACCUCGUUGCACUGCCGCUGCAGCUGCGUGCGACAGGACAGGUUUGGCGUGCAAUUUUCGUCGCCUAGGGUUCAGUGGCGAGAUGCCCACGUCGCCCAGGUGGCUGGCGCUCACACAGGGUGCCGGGAGGGUGUCCCUGGGCUCUCAGCGGCAGCCUGGUAGCCAGCACUGGGUCACUGAGCGAGUGCUAGCUCUCUGAAGAAGACAUCAACAGGCUCCUUAAGGUCCAGAUGCCUCUUCGCCUACUUACCCUGAUGUCCCUACAUCCCAGUGAGGACGGGGCGCGUCGGGCUGCUCCCUGGCCGAGAGUGGUGCCCGUUCUGUCGUAGCGCCAUACAUCAUUAUUGGGUUAGAUUAAGCUGAAUUACUUGGCGCAUCCUCUAGUUCAUUAAAAUAUUGUUCUUAGUUGAAUGUGUUAUCUGAAAUGGUAGUGUUGGGGAAACUACAAUUGUCGGCGGCACGUGUUUGGGUCAUCACCGGCGCGCCGCCUUCUCCUCGUCUGUCUUCUGUACAUCCAUGUUCUCGUUUGCGUGCUACUCCAUGGUGAUCAAUCUUCUCGCUCUGCCAAGCCUCCACAAGAGCCACCAAACAAUAUCCUCUUCAUCCAGAACAGUGCUGACCAGACAUCGAGCAUGAUGGUGGAGGUCCUGUUCCAGCAGUACCCUGGUUUCCGGGAGGUUUGGAUGAUCGAGGCCAGGCCAGGCAUUGCUUUGGUGGAGUCCGAUGACGAGAACCAGUCCAUGGUUGCGAUGCAAGCCCUCCAGGGUUUCUGGAUGAGCCGGAGAACCCAAUCACUAUAUCGUACGCCAAAAAAUAAUGAUGAUCCAUGGGAUCCCCAAACCGUCCGAAGAAACCUGUAGCCAUAAGAUUUUCCCACCCUAUGAUUUACACUAUAGUGGUGAUCUAACUGACUUGUAAAGAAAUACAUGGUGUUUAGUCUCUUGCAACAGUUGAGACGUAAUCAUAGCAUUUGUCUGAAAUUAUGGAAGUACUCAUGAUUAGCAUACACAAGUUAGAUUUGGACAAGGAAAUGUGUCACUGGUUAAAGAUGCUCCUUUCUCUACACUCUCGCAGCCCUGAUACUUUAUACCCAGUAGCCCAUGAAGCAAAGUGGCUUGAAACGUGUUCACAGUCUAUGAUCCAUUUCUAA